Molecule: long non-coding RNA, 9009 nt
Filed under: Gallus gallus (chicken)
Lineage: Eukaryota; Metazoa; Chordata; Aves; Galliformes; Phasianidae
Source: RNAcentral
AGCUACAGUGAGGGUGACUGCCUGGGCCAUUUUCCGUUUGGUACAAAGGAAGGCAUGGCACUCCAGGUUCUCAUUGAGCUGGUUCUGGGCAAUGUAGGCAAACACUUUAUCGUGGAUCUUGUCUGCCGUGCAGUAGGAUAUCCUGUAUAUGGAGACGUUCUCAAUCAGCUCGUUAGUUCCACUGUCAUUUAGCACAAUCCCUCUGGGCGAGACUUUCAGCGUAACUUUCUGCAGUUUCUUUCCACUUGCUUUUGCGGUGGCAACGAUCCUUUUGACAGCAGCUGCAGAGAGCUCCUCACCCUUCGGCUGCUCCACCAGCGUCAUGCCCAAGUACUUGAGGCUGAAGAGCACCCCUUCCAGCAGCGUCUCUCGGGUAUCGGUCCAGUUCUCCGGGAGCUUCUGGUGGCGGCCGCCGGCCCAGGGCGGUUUGGUGACGCUCGGGCUGCGCAGCAGAGCGCGUCCCGCCGAGCGCAGCGCGUCCAUUCCCGCGCGGGACUUCGGCAACUUCGCCGCGCCGCCGCCGCUCCGCGCGUCCGGGGGCGGGGCCUGAGGGAGAGGGACAGCACAGCGCGACGGCGUGACGUUGCGUUACGUAACGUGACGCAACGCGACGUAACGACGCAAACGGGACGUGGCCGCCCGCGGCCGUGAGGCGGUUGGAGGCGGAGGCGGCUCCGGGCCGUUCCGUCGGGCGCGGCGCUCAUCGGCGGCUCAGCCUCUUCCGCUGGGAUUUAUGGGAGCGGAUUCUCACAGAGCCGCUGCAGACGGGAGCUUUUCUUUCAGUACUGAACCACGGCUGCAUACGUGGCUGCGCUCCGACGGUGACGGGCGCCGGCCCUGAGGUGAGGAGGUCUCACUGUGCCCGUACUGCUUCUUCCCACACACGUUGGCUGCAAAAGGUUCUGCGCGGGAUCUGCCAACGGCUGUGACCCCACAGGAGAAGGGAGGCGGCCAAAGCCAAACGCUGAAUGCGAACGGUGCCGAAGGAGGCAGCAAAACGGGGAGCAGCACAGCGAUGAGCGAUGCCAUUCCACGUUCUGCACGACGGUGGGAAACCUCCGGCAGUUCUGAGUAACGCUCCCACGGCGAGGAUUCCAAAGGACGAUCCAAAAAUGCGACUGCCAGCGACGCACAGACGUGGCUGAAGCUCCGAGCUCAGCCCGGAAGGAUUUAUCUGUGCUGGAAAGGAUGAAACUUCAAUACUUGACUGCCUUUUGCAUUCUGCCUUUUGCAUUUAUUAACGAGGGGCACCAAUUAGCAGGAAACCUCAGCAGAAGCCCUUUCAGAAGCUCUUUGUCUUUCCAGAGUCCGCUGCACGUUUGCAAAACCACAGCGCUGGGUUUAUUCUGCUCAUCCCAACGCAGUUUUGUUUCCCAUCCCUCCAACCCCCACCCCCAAAAUAACCUGCAGCCCUUUGGGAGUCAGCAGUGCAAACGUCUGUCCUACCAACCUACAUUGCACGUUUUAACUGAAACCUUUGUGCAAUUAAAAAAGCUCCUUAAAAACCUCCUUGGCACAACGGCUGGGGAAAUAAAAGAGUUGAACCUUUAAGUUUUCACACGUGAGGUGACAGGAAAAAAAAGGAUAAUAAUAAUAAUAAAAAAAAACAGAACCGCAGCUUUUAUUAGCCAGCUUUACAGUCUCUUGUAUACAGUACAUUGCACAGCUCCGCCUUCACAACAACGCUUCCUGGGUUAAUAUUGUGCCUUCCGUGAUGCUGUAUCAUCAAGGCAAGUUACAGAACACUGCUGAGUUUAUAUCGAAAUAAACAGAAGAUGUAACCUUGGUUUAUAAUGAACAUCCAAAUUACCAUGUACAAUUUGCAGCAGACUCUGUAAUGAGCUUGAUAUAAAGCUAGAUGACAGCGAAGGGGGGAAAAAUAGUUUAAACUAUCAAGUUUCCUCUUGAAAUGUCUUUUCCCAAGGCACUGUGAACAAGACUGUCGGCAGUUCUCAAUGACCAGAGACACCAAUGGGAGCAUAAAUAUUUCACACAACAACCACCGUCGCAUCCUCACCCAUUUCCUCCUCCUUUCCCUUAAGCAACGCCCUGACUUUGUUUGGUCCUUGGAGGGGGGACUCAAAUGAUCAUCCGUGAUAACCAUAUGUUUGUAUUGAACACAUCUAUCAAGCACAGCUUUGUCGGAUUGUUUAACCCUUUCGCUGUCAAAACAAAAGGUUUUUCCCUCACUGUUUCUCAACGAAUCUGAUUGGCAAAUUCAACUCGAUUGUUAAAAAAAAAAACAACAGGGAGAAGAAAGGGUUCAAAAUCAAGCAAAGCCCUGUAUUUUCAAGAGGAAACCAUGCACAAGUACAUAAGAAGGCAAAAUUGGCUACUUGAAAACCAAGAAUUGUUUUUAAUGCAUUGGCCAAGGAAAAUAAAUUGCAAAGUUCUGUGAGGUCUUCUAAAAAUUUACAAGAAAAACGGAUGGGCAGUUCUAGUCGAUCCAGAUGUUCUUUUUUUUUUUUUUUUUUCCUGUUUUUAAUGACAACAAAUAACAGUCUCACACAAUACAAUUUCAUCUUGGACUGCAAGAGACGCUCCUGUGUGAAGCCUUCGGCACGGCGACGUCACCGGGCAAAACCAGAGUUGGCAUUCAUUUCUUCAUGGGCUGAUAAACAGAGGCAUUGGGAUCAAGUCCGGAAGGGCUGGUCUCCACAAAUUUGGAAGAGUAAUGUGGGGAAACGGGGCUCAGCGUGCUGGUGGCUGCGGUGUACGUUAUGCUGGGCAUGACUGCCAUCACUUCGGCAAUCUUCUGUUUUAGCUCCUUGAUUUCCUGAUCUUUCUGAAUGAUUUGCCCUGAAAUGGCAAAGAGCGUCGCUGAGAAACAGCUGCACCUUCUCACCCUCCAGUGCUCGUUCUGUGAUCGGCUGCUGAAGCCAAACACCCUGAAGGGAUUCGGCUUUCUGAUAUCCUAACAGCAAAAGCAGACCCGGUGGAGCUGCCCCUCUGUGUCCGUGAGUUAUGUUUAAGGUACCACAUCACACCAUCACAUCUUCUAUUCGAUUUUGCACUGUUUGGAUCCACAACUGCACAGUGCCAAAAUGUGGUUUUUAUUCUGCCCUGUCCCGUUUGCAUUUCACAACCACCUCACGGGGGGUCAUUAAGUGCACUAUUUCCCUUAUUUUCAAAGCUGUCCGCACCAUUUUUCUACCCCCCCCCCCACUGUGCACACUCACCAACUCAUUACAGCAUUUGAUGUAAUUACAUAAAGAGCACGGAAAAAAAAGGUCCUCAUUCUAAGAAAACCUUCCUGCAAACGAACUCCUUCGAGGAAAUUCAAGAGCUACUCAACCAAGAGCUCACUUCCUUCUGCUCCAGGGCCUGCCCAGCUAACAGACAGCCCAGCAGGGUUAAAUGCUGCCUCCGUGCUCCCUCUGGUGGCACCCAAACACCGACACCUCCCUGCUUACCCACAGGGGGACUUUGGGGUUUUUUCCCCCCACAUUUUGGUUUAUUUGCUUCAGGAGAUUCGGGGAUGGGGAUAACAGACAGCACUACUAUCUUAUCUUAUCUUCUAGCUCUUUCAAAGAAGUUCUCCAGCUUUGAGGAAACCAUUUAUAACAAUGGAGAAAAUCCCAGGACGGGUUGUGUUGGGGGGGGACCCCGAGAUUCCCCAGCUCCAACCAUCCCCACCACUGGGUGUUACCUUGGGCAAUCUCAAGCUGCCGUUUCGCAUCUCCUAAUGCAGAGAAGAGAUCCAGCUUGAUCCGCGUCUCUGCGCUCAGGCUGUUCUCUAAGUGCUGUGUUUUAUCCUGCAUGGCUGACAGUGCUGACAUCAACACCUCCGUAUCCUUCUCAUUUUCCUUGUACUUCCGCAGUUCCUGUAGGAGCAAUGAGGAUAAAUGUUAUUCCUGUAGGUGUCACGGAUGAGAUGUACUGAGAAGUCUUUCCCUUCCCUACAGCACGCCACUGGGCCUGGUAUUAAUGCAGUCAAAUUAAAAUGAUGGUUAAUUGAGGACGCUGUAAUAUCACCUGCAGUAAUUAUACAUGACCAUCACACAAGUGAUUAAAGCCAUAUUGUACAAAGAGCAGUUACAGUGCAGUGAGCAGUUCCCAUUUCCUCUGCUCCUCAGCUCCUUAUUGUCUGUACCACUGAGACCUUUCACCCAUCCCUUCCAGCUGAGAGCUGCACAGCGCUCUUCUGCAAGCACAAAAUUGCUGAGCUGUGGAAUACGAAAGCAGCUAGAAUGGGGACAAAGCCCUUACCAGAAAGUUUAAAGCGAUACUAAAUACUGACUGACUGCACUGUAAGCUAUUUCAGGUGUCCGAUGGGAGGGAUUUCUUCCUCUUCACAUGCUUCCCGCGUUGAACCGAACUGAUGCAAACCAGAAAUGUAGAAAAGUGAAAAGGAGGGAGUAUUGCAUGGAGGAGACGGUCACCUUGUGGUGGGGAAUGGCUAUUCCUGGAGGCUUGGGGUUUUUUGUUGUUGUUAAGUUCCUUACUCGCCAACAGUGACAUUUAUAACAACACAGACUGGCAACAAGGCCUCACAUAGGACGUAAGGUGUAGUGGGGGUUAUGUUUUCCUCAGUCCGUCCUGACCAUUGGUUUGGGGAAAAAAAAACCAACCCAAAUCAUUUCAACAUUCGAGUGGUGUGGAGCUGAGACCCAUAACCUUUCUUAUCCCCAUCUUCUAACAAACCCUGAUGCAAGACGUGCAAGAAAGACAUCUGAAGAGAACAAUUCUGGAAGGUGUUGAUUGCCUCUUGUGUAGACCCAGCAGUCUCAAGGGUUUGAAAGCACUCACUGUGAUGCUGCUCUGAGCCCGGGCACUUUCUUGUUACCUGAACUUUCAUUUCUAGCUCUCGUAUCUGAUCUUCUUUCAGCUUGAUGUCAAUGGUCAGCUUCUUGCACUCUGUCUCCAGCUCUCGGAUACGAUUCCGUAAAGUUUCGGUACAUUCUCCUCUGCAGGAGAAGCAUUAAAAGAGAAGACAGUAAAUAAAAGCAGGAGGCUGUCAGCCUGGGAUUGCUUACUGCAUGGAAAGUACUAUCAGUAUUGAAGGAUAAGAAAGGAAAGGUAACCUCAUUCUUUUCAGUAAGAGAUUUUCCUUAUGGCAACAAUGAAAAACUCCAAGGAGUUACCCCAAUUUUACACCCCAAGGAUUGGGAAGUUAUCUCGAACAUUUAUGAAUGACGGACAACAGAAAAGCUGAAAUAAUGCUUUUUAGACACUUGGAACAUUGCAAUCAUCGACGCUUGCACCCUAUUUUCACGUUAAAAACCAUUCCAUCUUUGCAUUAAUAGUGAAAUAUCACUGUGCCGAGCACUUGCAGUCAGUGGCGACAGCAGAAUACUGCUGAGGAGCGAGAUAAAGGCCAUUGUCACUGCAUGAAGCCUUGAUUCACAGCCCCCGUCUGCAAGGGGAGAUUUCUGUUUUGAGAGGACUGACCCACACCGGGCACAACAGCCACUGCACAGCUGGUAACUCACAGCACAUUCAUCAUCUGAGACAUUUUCUGGAGCUGAUAUUCCUUCUGGAGUAGAACCACAUACCUUGUAGCAGCAGCAAACGCAACAGCACGUGCAGCGGUCGCUUCUUCCAACUUCUUUCUCUUUUUUUCUUCCAUUAAUUGCUUUUCUACAAAGGCUCUUGCCUCUUGCUCUGCCUUUAGUUUCUUCUCCAGCUGGCUGAUCAUUUGCUUGUCUUUUUGUUUCAUUUGUACAGCAUUGUGCAAUCUGGAAGGUAACAGGUAUGGGAUUUAGCACAGGUUUUCACUUACUACAACUAAACCACUGUCACUAUUCCCAAGCGAGUUUUGCUUUCUUACAAGCAAGCACGUUAUGCUUGGUAAAGUCUCAACACAUUAUUUCCCCCUCCAGCAAACUCCAGCCAUCAGCAAGCAACCCACACAGCUUUGCAGAGCACAUACUUGUUCUGGAGCAGUUCGUUUUCCUGCCGGAGCUGUCCGAUCUCAGACCGAAUUCCCCGCUCUGUGUUAGUCAAAGAACUGAUCUGGCUACGCAGCUCCUGCUCAAUCUGCCUGCUUGCUUGCAGGUCAGCCUUUAACUUUUUAAUGUCUUGUUCCAACCUAAGACAGACAAUUUUAAAAGACAGUGUUCAAUUUAAAAGGCUGUACUUUCCCACUACCCAAAGGUUCCAACGCAUCAGACUGGAAACUGAUGCCUCUCUUUGCUGUACCAUCUUUUAGGUAACUCUACAUACAGCUAUAUGUACAGCUGUGCACACACUUCAUAACCCUCACAGGAAGUCUGUUCCCCUCCAAGCACUGCAGCCCUGUGGAACACCUGAUGGAAUCACCUUCCCUCCAAGCAGAAAUGAAACUGAUAAGGCUGAGAAUCCCCCAGGGCUGGCAGGUGACCACACGAGCACAUUGUUGCUUUUCUCACCUAAUUCAGGCUGUUAGCGACGCACUGCACUCCUGAAUUCCUGCUAAACAUGGCUGGGUUUUUCCCUUGAAGUACAAGAUGUGAACAUGUUAUGUUAUCCAUAAUUCAGGGCUUGGUGAAUUUAGUUUCAAUUCCUCCUGAACUGAGAGAAUCCAGCAAGUCACACAACCUUAUUCAUUCAUAUAUCUUCAUCUUAAAUGGGUUAAAUAAAGACACCAGUUUGUAAUGAGAGGCCCCCAGCUCACCUCUGUGUUCCCCACACGUUUGAAAUAAGAUUGUUCUCUCUUAAAAUAAUGAAUUAAAAAUACAUCCUAUCUGUAUGCAUGGGUAGAAGAAAAAUCGUAGUGGGCAAACAGUGAUGGCACCAAGCAAAUGAAUGCUUCAUGUUGAGGACAAGAAGUUAUUUCAACACCCUGAGCUCCGUCGUGACAAUGGGACAGCAGGAAAGUGUCCUCCCUCUAUGAGUUAGGAAGCCAAUAACCCAUCACAACGUAAGGACCAAAUGUUUCCUGCCUGGUUUCUCUCAUUCAGAUAUCAGAUCUACCAAAAUUAGUGGUACUUCAUUAAAAAAAAACGUUCAUUUCCAUUAGAAAUAAUAAAGAAGUGCAGUUCUUGCAUUCCCUGGUGUGAGCUGUGUGCUCAUCUUCAGCCCCCAAAUGUUCUGCUGUAAAAAAGCAAGUCCAAGCUCUUCUGUGCAUACAGAGGCAACGCCAAUUUCUUUCAGCUUCUCAUUACUAGAAACACAGAUAUGCUUCUUCUUUUCUUAAGCACAGCUGCAUAUCAUUACUGACCUCAGUAACGAAGUAAAUGACUGAGCAGUCCCCUCCAAGAUGGAUCGUUUCCCUUAUUGCCUUGGGAAGGCAACGACAGCUCAGUCUGCUGCUUCCAGCUGUCCAUAACCCACUGAUGAUGUGUCCCUUCGGUUACACCUCCCCAUAAUCACCUGCCUACAAAAACUGAAGUUCUAUGUGACCCAAAGUGCUUUGCUAAGAGACCUGUUCUUUGUUUUGCUCUCUUGUGGCCCCAUCUGUUGGUGUGAGCCCUGCUGCCAAUGUAACAGCAUUGACAAUGUGACUGCAUUAACAGCGCUGCAGUUCUGCUGUGGGUGAUGUGCCAUUGCUAGCAGCUCCUCAGGGCACAAUCCAGGUGAAUGGACAUCAAGAUGUGACCUCUCCCAUCUUCGCAGCUCUGUUAAAGUGCUGUGGCCUGCAUUUAAACUGGUGUGUUAGCAGUGAUGCACACAGCAAGCUUGAGUUAUCGCUUCAAGGAGUCGUAGGGCAGCUGCCACUUUGCAUCCGUAGUUGUGAAUUAAAAACAAAAGCCAAACAUUCCAGGGGGAAAAAGAGAUCCCACCACCAAACGAGAAACCAAAACCUGCCCAGGUAACACCGAACCCCUCUGAAUUCCCUGCAGAUGUAAAGGUCACCCAGGAAUGUUUGCUAAGAACACACCGCUGAGCUCUGCAAUGAGCAUUCUCCACGUUUCCCUCAUUUCCCUCCAGUGACUGUCACAGCCAUCCACAAAGCCCCACAACACCCCUGUGAGGUCGGUGAGGACCUCGUCCUGAGGGACACAGCAAGCUGUUUGCUGAAGACUGUGUGGCCAAUGGGAGGCAAAAGUCAGGAAGAGAAGCCCAGCAGUCUGCCUCCUGCCUGCCUUACCCCAUUACAAGCCAGUUCUGUCCUCUUCACGAGACCAUGAAUUACAUUUCCCUUAGAAGACCAACUACAAAAAUACAGCCCAAACAUACCCAAUGCCUGGCACCACGAGAGGCCGUUAACACUGCAUUGCAAUGAAACUCACCUGACCAACGCAUCUGGUUUGCUGAGCUGGUUGUUGGGAAUACAGUUCUCCAUUAAGUCCUUAUGUGCGCUCGGGCUCUUGCUUGGACACUUCUGUUUCUUCUCAUUUUUAGUGGAUGCUGAAGGGAUGCUCCCAUUGGUCGCACUGUGACUGCGGGGGGAGGAGUUCACAACUCCACUGACAUUUUUGUAGUUUUUGGAUGAGGCAGUGCAUGAGUCCUCUUUUAAGAGGUUUUCUGUACUUCCUACGAGAUCGUUAUUUAAUCUUUUACUAUUGAUAUGGUUUUCCAUAUAUUCAAUUUCUUGUAUUUUAGAGUCUACAGGUUGCAAAAUGUUGUUAUUUAUCCCAAGGUUGUGUUUCUUAGCAUCCUUGUCCUUUUCUUUCCCUUUUUCUCUAUAUUCUAGCUCUGGCAACGUUGCAGAUAGUUUUUUAUUUGCUGGAAUGCCUCCAUUGUGCUGCAGAAGUAUCGAGGAAUCCAUCUCAGAUAAUCCUUUGGCUGCAACAGCAAAAUAAAGAAAAGAAAAUGAGUUUGUUCAAAUCAAUCAAUAUUACGACACGAAGAAAAAUGAUGGAGUCUACAACCAUCUCUUCUGCAGAAGGCAAUCAUUAAGAGUCCGCUUAGCAAAAAGAAAAGAAAGCCAAACCCAUGAAGAAAAAUAGGGGUGGCCAGCAGGGAGAGGGAGGCGAUCGUCCCCUUCUACUCGGCUCUUGUGAGGCCCCAUCUGCAGCACUGUGCCCAGGUCUGGGGCCCCCAACACAAAGACGUGGAGCUCUUGGAGAGGGUCCAAAGGAGGGCCACUAAGAUGAUCCGAGGGCUGGAGCACCUCUCCUGUGAGGAAAGGUUGAGGGAACCGGG